RNAcentral lists this non-coding RNA (30 nucleotides) under Rattus norvegicus (Norway rat). The record is from RNAcentral. Lineage: Eukaryota; Metazoa; Chordata; Mammalia; Rodentia; Muridae.
UGGGCUUUUCUGUUAUUAAUGGGUUUGAAU